This is a long non-coding RNA of Spinacia oleracea (spinach), 1524 nucleotides long. RefSeq lists it as uncharacterized. Lineage: Eukaryota; Viridiplantae; Streptophyta; Magnoliopsida; Caryophyllales; Amaranthaceae. The record is from RefSeq and is a predicted model, not a curated record. The transcript has 4 exons.
CAGAUUUGAUCGAUUUCCGCAAUAUGAUUUCAAACGAUUUGAUAAACUCUUAAUCCCUCCAAUCUUGAAGAAUUGCUAGAAUCAGUCUCUAAAGGUCUGGGAUGAGGAAGAGGAUCUGAUUAAUAUGUUAAAUCAUACUUUAGCAUAAGUUUACCUUAUGGACUUGAACCAUGAACAGUCCCAUUUGUAGGACUAUGGCAAAUGCAAUUUAUGUCUAGAUUCCAUUGCGUGGGCUAUGAUCCUUACGACUCUAGAGCAGCAAUGAAUGCAAGAAAGUACGUAUCCCGAAAUUAUUUGCCCUAUUUUAUUGCGUUUUUUGUUGUUGAAAUUUGGACAACUUGGCUCCUAUUUAUUGUUUUGGAUGAUUUAAGUUUGACAUUUUGAUUUGAUUUUAUUGAGAUUGUCUAUUAUUUUGUGGAUUGUCUAGAUGAUUGUCUGAUUUUUUUUUUUUUAAUGAUUUUUUAGCAAUGUCCGAUUUUACUACUGUUGGUAGCAAAGAUGCAAUAUGUGGAAGUAGUAGAGUGAAUUUCUAACACCUCUAGCUGGCAGCAUGGACUGGUAAAACAAAAUUAAUGUAGUAUUUCUACCAAUGACUGGAUAUUCUUCUUCAGGAGUGUGUCUGAGAAAGUUAAAGACUCUUUUGUAGCUUCUUUGAUUUGUUGUUUCUAGUAUGCAUGAGUGACUAUCUUUUAGAGUUUGAAGUUGCAACUAGUCCUGUGCUCAUUGUUGCUACCAGUAAGAUCUUCUGAGGUUAAUGGUUGUGGUCCAGUAUUGUCGUUGCUGCAGCCAGUCAGAAUGGAUACAGAGGUCAGUAUUGUCGUUGGAGUUUUGUCCAGCCCAACAGGUUAUGCUUAAUUCUUUUUUCGGCGUGUAUAGACGUGAAUAUUUUGUGCAGCCAAGAAACAGCCAUAUCUGUCUUUUAUCCAAGGGAAUAUAUGGUGGACCAAGGAUAUACAACGUACCUUUGGUUAUAUGAUGAUGCAAAUGAUUGUGACUCAUGGGGGCCGCUGUGCUGAACGUAUUGUAUAUGGUGAUGACGUAACUGAUGGAGGAAAAGACGAUCUAGAAAGGAUCACAAAGAUUUCAAGAACACACCGCUCACCGCCAAGAUCACCAAUCAACGAUCAUUCCUUGGAUCCUCACUGGGAAAUUAGGGGCUGGCGGCAACGAAUUAGGCAACACAUGUGGUUUCCAUUCGAGAAAUUUGGGACAGUAAGCAAUUUCCACCCAAUAAAUCUCUACUUCAAUUCCUUAGAAUAGAAGGAUAUACUCUAUUUAAUUUGCAUUUACUCUGUUCUCCUCUUUUUUUCUUCAAAUCAUCCAACUACCUCUCGUGCAGUUCAAUAAUAAUAAUAAUCAACAUAAAGGAUGACGCGACUAUAGGAUGGGGGUUCUUGUGGAUCCACCACCAACUUAUCGACUUGGACCAACUAUUAAUUGGAAUGCAUAUGUAAUUUGUCUUUUUGCAGGGCCUUAUCUGCCAUCGCUAUAAGUAGUACAUAACCUAGUUGAUACUCGCUGGAU